Molecule: ribosomal RNA, 439 nt
Filed under: uncultured bacterium
Lineage: Bacteria
Description: bacterial SSU rRNA
Rfam family: Bacterial small subunit ribosomal RNA
Source: RNAcentral
GUCAUGGCUCAGAACGAACGCUGGCGGCAGGCCUAACACAUGCAAGUCGAACGCUCGUAGCAAUACGGGAGUGGCAGACGGGUGAGGAACACGUGGGAACAUACCCUUUGGUUCGGAAUAACUCAGGGAAACUUGAGCUAAUACCGGAUAAGCCCUUACGGGGAAAGAUUUAUCGCCGAAGGAUUGGCCCGCGUCCGAUUAGCUAGUUGGUGAGGUAACGGCUCACCAAGGCGACGAUCGGUAGCUGGUCUGAGAGGAUGAUCAGCCACAUUGGGACUGAGACACGGCCCAAACUCCUACGGGAGGCAGCAGUGGGGAAUAUUGGACAAUGGGCGCAAGCCUGAUCCAGCCAUGCCGCGUGAGUGAUGACGACCCUAGGGUUGUAAAGCUCUUUCACCCACGACGAUAAUGACGGUAGUGGAGAAGAAGCCCCGGCUAA